Long non-coding RNA from Bos taurus (domestic cattle), 1107 nucleotides. Lineage: Eukaryota; Metazoa; Chordata; Mammalia; Artiodactyla; Bovidae. The record is from Ensembl.
CUAUAGAUAUGGGGAAAAUCCCCUUGAUAAAAAUAUACUUCCCUAUAUCUGAGUUGGUUCAUAUCAUGCCCAAGAUCGUAGGCUCUGGACCAACCUGCCUGGGUUCAAGUCUGUCUCUUCUGCUUGCUAGCAUAGGUGUCAACUUAUUUAAACUCUCUGAGCCAUGGUUCCCUUAUCUGUAAAAGGGGAAUAACUCUUAUUAUUUCCUUCAUAGGGUCAUUGUGAGUACUGGGUUUGACCAGGAAUGAUUUUGCUAAACCACUUUCUUCUGUAUGAACCAGAAGUCGCAUAGCAGAGGUGCCAGUAUAUCUCCACAACUGCCAUUAAAUUGUUUAAGAAUUAAUAUUAAGCGGAAGACUUGGCACCUAUUUCCCUAAACCUCACUCCAUGCCCUAGCCACAUGGCCACCUUCAAGGAAUGGAAGCAACUAAGAGGAAGUUUGGAGUGGCCAAGCACCAACACACACAUCCUUCAUCCUUGAAGACCAGAGCAAGACACACUAAGCCCCAAAAUGAAAUAAAAAGUCUUAGUAAGUCAGAUAGAUAAUAAGUUAUUUGGCCUUUGACUUCCACUGUUUGUGGAGGGUAAGGGCACCUUUGACAUCUCAGAAGCAGAUUGAUUUUCUUGAGUAGAUGAUGGAGAAAAUUGUGCUGAGUUUUGAUCAUUUGUGUAUUCCCAAGUUCCUCCGCACAACCAGACUGUGAAGGAAAACAACUCUAAAGACAUGUAAGCACUUUGGUUAAUUGGGUAUGCAGUAAAUACAAUUUACUCCUGAAGAAACAGUUUGCUGUUUAUUCACUGGGAAAAAAAAAUACUCAGCUUGAUAAUACUGACAGAACACGAAUAUUGUGCGGCAGGUUGAAGAAAAAUCCUAUUUAAAAUGCUUGUGAAAGGGCGAAUAAAAGCAGUCUGGUUUCUCUUCCUUUUGAAAAUCUUGAUUUCAUUGCCUCAUUUGUUAUUUCCUUUCUUUUUUCCUGCUUCCUUUUAAUUUUUCCUUCUGCACUGCUGUAGAAGACUUUCCCAAAGAAAGUUUUCUGAGACAUCAGUUUAUUAAGUAUUUUUCAACAUUAUUUCUAUACCUGAUCUCCUGGCAGCCCUACAAAAUAU